CGCGGCCUAUCAGCUUGUUGGUGAGGUAGUGGCUCACCAAGGCGACGACGGGUAGCCGGCCUGAGAGGGCGACCGGCCACACUGGGACUGAGACACGGCCCAGACUCCUACGGGAGGCAGCAGUGGGGAAUAUUGCACAAUGGGCGAAAGCCUGAUGCAGCGACGCCGCGUGAGGGAUGACGGCCUUCGGGUUGUAAACCUCUUUCAGCAGGGAAGAAGCGAAAGUGACGGUACCUGCAGAAGAAGCGCCGGCUAACUACGUGCCAGCAGCCGCGGUAAUACGUAGGGCGCAAGCGUUGUCCGGAAUUAUUGGGCGUAAAGAGCUCGUAGGCGGCUUGUCACGUCGGGUGUGAAAGCCCGGGGCUUAACCCCGGGUCUGCAUUCGAUACGGGCUAGCUAGAGUGUGGUAGGGGAGAUCGGAAUUCCUGGUGUAGCGGUGAAAUGCGCAGAUAUCAGGAGGAACACCGGUGGCGAAGGCGGAUCUCUGGGCCAUUACUGACGCUGAGGAGCGAAAGCGUGGGGAGCGAACAGGAUUAGAUACCCUGGUAGUCCACGCCGUAAACGGUGGGAACUAGGUGUUGGCGACAUUCCACGUCGUCGGUGCCGCAGCUAACGCAUUAAGUUCCCCGC
Molecule: ribosomal RNA, 630 nt
Filed under: uncultured bacterium
Lineage: Bacteria
Description: bacterial SSU rRNA
Rfam family: Bacterial small subunit ribosomal RNA
Source: RNAcentral